Molecule: long non-coding RNA, 1890 nt
Filed under: Homo sapiens (human)
Lineage: Eukaryota; Metazoa; Chordata; Mammalia; Primates; Hominidae
Description: HSALNT0137524
Source: RNAcentral
GCGGAGGCCGAGGAAGAAUUGGAGCCUGAUUCAGCCUGACGGAAACAGGUUCCCAGAACGCAGUGGACCCUUCCUGCUUGCCUGGUGACUCUACGUGUGGUGGGAACUCGAGAGCUUUUUAAUAACCUCAUUAGCACUAUUGACACUUUGAGUACAGAGUGAAACAAAACAAUUAUUUUCUUCACAGAUGAUACUGUAGCCAAGUUUCUCAUAUCUUAUGCCUUUAUUUUGUAACACGAAUGCUAGAUUUUUAAAUAUUUAUUUCUUUUAAGUUUAAUGUUGAGAAUGUGAGCUCAUUACUCCAGCCCAAGGAAACAAUUGUCCUGUCAUUUAUGUCUUUAUCAAAGAACAAACCAGAAUCCAAAACCGCUCAGAACUCAGAGGACUUUGGUAAGCAGAACCUGCUUUCACGGCCGGAAUAGGGGAGAGAGAAGGGAGUACAAGGGUUUCUCUGCAGAAGCACAAUCCAGCUGAGGCUGAUGCAGGUUUGUGGGAAACUUACACAACUGGGGCUGGGAGGCUGUAAGCGGUCCUCUCCAGGAAGAAUGGUAGUAACCACAGGAGCAUCUCAAACUGGGCCUACUCUAUUGAUAAUAGAAUGUCUAAGUACCUUGUAGAUAUAACAGAGCCAAGACUGCAAGUCAUAUGGCCCAGGCAUGUACAAUAGGAAAGAUUUGACCUCUGACAUCCAAAACCAACAAUUCCUCCCCACGGAACCAGGAAGACCAGGACACAACCAGAACCUGAACAUCAGAACCAUUUCAAAAGCGAGGGGGUCUGACGGCCAGGAAGAUCCAGGGCUAAAAUCAGCCUCAACGUACCUUACCAAAAAUAGUCACAUUUGAAGCUCUCCAAUCAGACCUUACCACACCAAAAUCCUUUCUGCCUUCCAAUCCCUUGAAACUUGCCGCAGACUCAAAUUUGGGAGACAGAUUUCAGCCAUGCCUUCUGUGUCAGCCUCUCAAUGAAUUGUUUUUUAUCUCAAAAGCUGGUGCCGUAGUAUGGCUUCUAAUUACAUCAAGCAGUGAGACCAUUUGCUCAAUAACAGAAUAAUGCAAAAUUGUCCAUUUUUCUUUAUACAAUGUUACACAUACUUCACUAAAAUUACUCUCCUCAAAAUAAUAUAAAAUUAAGAAUAUAAAAUUGCUAGAGCCUCUCCAAGGGCCUUGCAAGGUACCCUGUGAAAGUGAUGGGCCCUGAGCAUAAGCUUCUUUGGCUUCCCCAUUAAGUCUGUCUGAAGGUCUGCUAAGGUGUGUCAGUGCAGAGAACGUCCUCAGUACCUAGGAGUGCGACUUCCUGCCUAUCUCACAAUUUUCGUGUCAUUCAUUUCUGUGACUCCCACCUCUUUACAAAAGAUAUGUAGAAGCUCCAUGCACCUACUUUUUGGGGGUGACCACUAAUUAUUACUACUAUUAUUAUUAUUCAGCCCCAUGACUUCCUAUAUUAUUCUUAGAGAUCACUUGGGAAACUGAUUAUCUUGAUUUUAACAGAAUGAAGUUUUCAAAGCUGUUGACCUUUAUAAAAAUCUAGUCUCCAUGCACCUAUUUUUUUGGAAUCAUUUAAAAAUUAUUCCGAGCUUACUCUGCUUUCCUUUUUAGAGGCCUCAUAGAUACAGACAAAGAAUCUUUGCUUGGCCAAACUCUACUCAGCCUUCUGAAUAUUCUUCUAGGCCCAUCUGUGCACUUCCAUGUAAAAUCCAGUUUUCGCAAGACCCCUGCUAAGUCAGUUUAGCCUGAAUUCACCUUACCCCAGAGAUUCCCUCUUGGUAAUUUUUCCAUUUGCUGACCCCUACCCUGCUCCUUGGCUCUAUGGUCCCACUUGCCCAUGCUGUACUCAGAGUUGAGCCCAGUCUCUCUCCUUCACUGCAAUACCCCAUCGCUGUGGUCCCCA